Molecule: long non-coding RNA, 1062 nt
Organism: Sorex fumeus (smoky shrew)
Lineage: Eukaryota; Metazoa; Chordata; Mammalia; Eulipotyphla; Soricidae
Exons: 3
Source: RefSeq, a predicted model, not a curated record
CAGGGGUGAGGGGAGCAGCACUUCGGCAGGGAGGAGGCCCCGAAUGCCUGCGGAAACACUCAACAGCUUAAAAUACAACUAGCCCCGCGCGCCCGCCGGGUGCAGCUGCUGGGGGCAGGGCUGACAUCCUAGCCCUGUGCCCCGCCGGGCAGCGGCCCAGCCCCCGGAGCAGAGGUCGGCUGACAGCCCACUGGCGGGCAGCAGGGGAGCAGGCAGCAGGGGUGCAGAGCCCAGUGGAUGCAGGGAGGGAGCACCAAAGGAAGGUGUCUCCCAGAGGUGGGAGACAAAGGCACUGCAUCAGCAGCAGGAAGUGGAGGCCAAAGGAAGGACUACAGGCCCCAGGACACCCCAGCAGGGGACACAGCAGGAAGGAGGGGAUGGUUCUGAGACAAUGGUUUAUUCAGCCCCUUCCUUCCCAGUGUUGCCGUGCUGGUGCUUCAGGUCCAGAGCUGCCUCCGGACUUUUGUUGCGCUUCUGGGUUAUGAAACUUCGUUUAUCUGUGAUCAAACGCCAUCCAUAAUUAUCAGUUAAUUACCAUCUCUCCGUAGAUCAGCUUUGUGGCUUGGUGAGAGGUGCACCUCCCUCGCAGCCUAAGCUGCUGCUCUCAAGAACUUCCCGAGUGGGAGAAGGGGUCCAAAGGUCGUGCAAAAGAGCCGCUGAGCUGAUGCAAAGCCCCUACCUAAGCCGAGUAGGAGGUGGCGUGAUGCAAGACCUUCUGGGAUGGAGAGCAAGAGUCCGACCCUCUCCGCCCCUGCCAAGCCGACAACUCAGCCCGCUGGGGAAACUGCAGGCGGCUCGCGGGCUUCGAGUCCUGCAGAGACCCCAAACGAAGACAGCCACCCCCCACCGGCCCCCCGGGCUGGAGCGAUAGCACAGCGGGUAGGGCAUUUGCCUUGCACGCAGCCGACCUGGGUUCGAUUCCUAGCAUCCCAUAUACCAUCCCCGAGCACUGCCAUGAGUAAUUCCUGUGUGCAUGAAUCAGGAGUAACCCCUAUGUAUCGCCGGGUGUGAUCCAAAAAGGGCAAACAAACAAACAAACAAUAAAUAAAUAAAACGAAGACA